This is a non-coding RNA of Podarcis lilfordi (Lilford's wall lizard), 74 nucleotides long. NCBI's taxonomy places the organism in Eukaryota, Metazoa, Chordata, Lepidosauria, Squamata, Lacertidae. The record is from the annotation of a GenBank genome assembly.
UGUGUGUGUGUGUGUGUGUGUGUGUGUGUGUGUGUGUGUGUACACGCGCGUGCACGCACCCACCCACCCACUAC